UGAAUAGUGCCGUAUACGUGAAUAGUAACCCCGACACAAAAAGAUAGAAAUUUCACAAAAAAAUAUCUUCACACUUCGUGAAUAGUACUCGUGAAUAGUAACUCGUCAAUAGUAACUCAUGAAUAGUAACCCAUGAAUAGUAACUCCGACAUGAAAAAGUUCUAAAUUUGAUAAAAAGUUCAACCAAUAUUUUGGCAUAAUGAUAUUGAAGAAAAUAAUAUCAUUUGCGAAAGAAAUAACAUCCUUUACCUCAAAAUAACCGUACUUCUGACUGAAUUUCGGUAUAGUGCUGACAGAAACUCGCACCGUAUAGCAACACUCAAAGUAUACUCACAAGAAUAUGCUCGAUAAUAUAGAGAGAGAAAGAGAGAAAACUU
This 377-nucleotide long non-coding RNA is filed under the name Panax ginseng (ginseng). Its description in RNAcentral is "long non-coding RNA (PGIN_LNC008131)". The record is from RNAcentral. Lineage: Eukaryota; Viridiplantae; Streptophyta; Magnoliopsida; Apiales; Araliaceae.